GGCGGCCGCCUGCAGGGGGUUUGAGCUGCGAGGCUGUGGGGAACGGUGCCUUUUGAGAACGGUGUUUUUCUGAGCGUUUUAUCUUCAGCGGGUGGUUUUCUUCCUCGAUGUGUCGAAUGAACGGCGAAGGAGAGCCCUCAAAAUUCCAGCCUCCCUCGAAGCCUGUCAUUAUUGACAAGCAGAAGCAGAGAGAGGAGAGGAGCUGCAGGUCAGAAUGAAACCUCAACCAUGGUCAAAAUGGUGGGAGAGGCCGAAAUACAACAUUAAAGGAAUAAAAUUUGAGCUACCCGAGAAAAAAAUGAAGGAAGCGCAGAAGUGGAAGCAGCCCUGGCUGGAAUUUGAUAUGCUGCCAGAGUAUGAUACUUCAAAAAUAGAGGAAUAAAUACGGAGGGAAGCGAGUGAAGAGCUGAACAAGUAACAGCUUUGAGUUCAGUGUAAGAAUUGUCAGUUUUCAAGUUUCGUAUGCAAAUAAAAGACAGUGAAAUUUCA
Gallus gallus (chicken) is the source of this 489-nucleotide long non-coding RNA. RefSeq lists it as uncharacterized. The record is from RefSeq and is a predicted model, not a curated record. The transcript is spliced from 2 exons. Lineage: Eukaryota; Metazoa; Chordata; Aves; Galliformes; Phasianidae.